CCUACGGGAGGCAGCAGUGAGGAAUAUUGCGCAAUGGGCGAAAGCCUGACGCAGCGACGCCGCGUUGGGGAUGAAACCCUUUGGGGUGUAAACCCAUGUUGUAGGGGACGAAGAAAGUGACGGUACCCCUACGAGGAAGCCCCGGCUAACUACGUGCCAGCAGCCGCGGUAAGACGUAGGGGGCAAGCGUUGUCCGGGAAUUACUGGGCGUAAAGGGGCACGCAGGCGGGUGCGCCCAAGUCGAGGGUGUAAAGUUACGGCUCAACCCGUGACAUUGCAAUCGAUACUGGCGCGCUGGAGUGCGGGAGAGGGAAGUGGAAUUCCCGGGGUAGCGGGUGAAAUGCGUAGAUAUCGGGGAGGAACGCCGGUGGGCGAAGCCGGCUUCCUGGGCCCGCAACUGACGCUCAUGUGCGAAAGCCAGGGGAGCGAACC
Molecule: ribosomal RNA, 432 nt
Filed under: uncultured Acetomicrobium sp.
Lineage: Bacteria; Thermotogati; Synergistota; Synergistia; Synergistales; Acetomicrobiaceae
Description: bacterial SSU rRNA
Rfam family: Bacterial small subunit ribosomal RNA
Source: RNAcentral